Molecule: ribosomal RNA, 301 nt
Filed under: uncultured bacterium
Lineage: Bacteria
Description: partial 16S ribosomal RNA
Rfam family: Bacterial small subunit ribosomal RNA
Source: RNAcentral
CAGUAGCCGCGGUAAUACGAGGGGGGCAAGCGUUGUUCGGAUUUAUUGGGCGUAAAGGGUGCGUAGGCGGUUUGGCAAGUCUUAUGUGAAAUCUUCGGGCUCAACCCGAAGCCUGCAAGAGAAACUACCGGGCUUGAGUAUGGGAGAGAUGAGUGGAAUUUCCGGUGUAGCGGUGAAAUGCGUAGAUAUCGGAAGGAACACCUGUGGCGAAAGCGGCUCACUGGACCAUAACUGACGCUGAAGCACGAAAGCUAGGGGAGCAAACAGGAUUAGAUACCCCCGUAGUCCCUGUCUCUUAUAU